Molecule: small nuclear RNA, 94 nt
Filed under: Choloepus hoffmanni (Hoffmann's two-fingered sloth)
Lineage: Eukaryota; Metazoa; Chordata; Mammalia; Pilosa; Megalonychidae
Source: RNAcentral
GUGCUUGCUUAGACAGCACAUAUACUAAAACUGGAAUAGUUCAGAAAAGAUUAGCAUGGCUCCUGUGCAAAUCUGUGAAGUGUUCCACAUUUUU